AGAGUUUGAUCCUGGCUCAGGAUGAACGCUAGCUACAGGCUUAACACAUGCAAGUCGAGGGGAAACGAUAUUGGAAGCUUGCUUCCGAUAGGCGUCGACCGGCGCACGGGUGAGUAACGCGUAUCCAACCUGCCCACCACUUGGGGAUAACCUUGCGAAAGUAAGACUAAUACCCAAUGAUAUCUCUAGAAGACAUCUGAAAGAGAUUAAAGAUUUAUCGGUGAUGGAUGGGGAUGCGUCUGAUUAGCUUGUUGGCGGGGUAACGGCCACCAAGGCGACGAUCAGUAGGGGUUCUGGAGACGGAAGGUCCCCCACAUUGGAACUGAGACACGGUCCAAACGUCCGUACGGGAGGCA
This 356-nucleotide ribosomal RNA is filed under the name uncultured bacterium. Its description in RNAcentral is "bacterial SSU rRNA". It matches the Rfam family "Bacterial small subunit ribosomal RNA", at positions 8 to 350 of the family's 1533-position model. The record is from RNAcentral.